UGGCUCAGGACGAACGCUGGCGGCGUGCCUAAUACAUGCAAGUCGAGCGACGCGAAACUAACAGAUUUACUUCGGUAAUGACGUUAGGAAAGCGAGCGGCGGAUGGGUGAGUAACACGUGGGGAACCUGCCCCAUAGUCUGGGAUACCACUUGGAAACAGGUGCUAAUACCGGAUAAGAAAGCAGAUCGCAUGAUCAGCUUUUAAAGGCGGCGUAAGCUGUCGCUAUGGGAUGGCCCCGCGGUGCAUUAGCUAGUUGGUAAGGUAAAGGCUUACCAAGGCGAUGAUGCAUAGCCGAGUUGAGAGACUGAUCGGCCACAUUGGGACUGAGACACGGCCCAAACUCCUACGGGAGGCAGCAGUAGGGAAUCUUCCACAAUGGACGCAAGUCUGAUGGAGCAACGCCGCGUAAGUGAAGAAGGUUUUCGGAUCGUAAAGCUCUGUUGUUGGUGAAGAAGGAUAGAGGUAGUAACUGGCCUUUAUAUUACGGUAAUCAACCAGAAAGUCACGGCUAACUACGUGCCAGCAGCCGCGGUAAUAUCGUAGGUGGCAAGCGUUGUCCGGAUUUAUUGGGCGUAAAGCGAGCGCAGGCGGAAGAAUAAGUCUGAUGUGAAAGCCCUCGGCUUAACCGAGGAACUGCAUCGGAAACUGUUUUUCUUGAGUGCAGAAGAGGAGAGUGGAACUCCAUGUGUAGCGGUGGAAUGCGUAGAUAUAUGGAAGAACACCAGUGGCGAAGGCGGCUCUCUGGUCUGCAACUGACGCUGAGGCUCGAAAGCAUGGGUAGUGAACAGGAUUAGAUACCCUGGUAGUCCAUGCCGUAAACGAUGAGUGCUAAGUGUUGGGAGGUUUCCGCCUCUCAGUGCUGCAGCUAACGCAUUAAGCACUCCGCCUGGGGAGUACGACCGCAAGGUUG
Molecule: ribosomal RNA, 911 nt
Filed under: Lactobacillus crispatus
Lineage: Bacteria; Bacillati; Bacillota; Bacilli; Lactobacillales; Lactobacillaceae
Description: bacterial SSU rRNA
Rfam family: Bacterial small subunit ribosomal RNA
Source: RNAcentral